CCCUUAGAUGUUCUGGGCCGCACGCGCGCUACACUGAUGCAAUCAACGAGUGCCUCCUGCUCCGACAGGUGCGGGUAAUCUUCUGAAAUUGCAUCGUGAUGGGGAUAGAUUAUUGCAAUUAUUAAUCUUCAACGAGGAAUUCCUAGUAAGCGCAAGUCAUCAGCUUGUGCUGAUUACGUCCCUGCCCUUUGUACACACCGCCCGUCGCUCCUACCGAUUGAAUGAUUUAGUGAGGACUUCGGACUGGGACCGAUGCGGCUUUCGGGCUGCGUCGGUAUUCUGGAAAGAUGUCCAAACUGUAUCAUUUAGAGGAAGUAAAAGUCGUAACA
This 329-nucleotide ribosomal RNA is filed under the name uncultured eukaryote. RNAcentral's name for it is "partial 18S ribosomal RNA". It matches the Rfam family "Eukaryotic small subunit ribosomal RNA", at positions 1470 to 1796 of the family's 1831-position model. The record is from RNAcentral.